Molecule: ribosomal RNA, 1343 nt
Filed under: uncultured bacterium
Lineage: Bacteria
Description: 16S ribosomal RNA
Rfam family: Bacterial small subunit ribosomal RNA
Source: RNAcentral
GACGAACGCUGGCGGCGUGCUUAACACAUGCAAGUCGAACGGAAAGGCCCUGCUUUUGUGGGGUGCUCGAGUGGCGAACGGGUGAGUAACACGUGAGUAACCUGCCCUUGACUUUGGGAUAACUUCAGGAAACUGGGGCUAAUACCGGAUAGGAGCUCCUGCUGCAUGGUGGGGGUUGGAAAGUUUCGGCGGUUGGGGAUGGACUCGCGGCUUAUCAGCUUGUUGGUGGGGUAGUGGCUUACCAAGGCUUUGACGGGUAGCCGGCCUGAGAGGGUGACCGGCCACAUUGGGACUGAGAUACGGCCCAGACUCCUACGGGAGGCAGCAGUGGGGAAUAUUGCACAAUGGGCGGAAGCCUGAUGCAGCAACGCCGCGUGCGGGAUGACGGCCUUCGGGUUGUAAACCGCUUUCGCCUGUGACGAAGCGUGAGUGACGGUAAUGGGUAAAGAAGCACCGGCUAACUACGUGCCAGCAGCCGCGGUGAUACGUAGGGUGCGAGCGUUGUCCGGAUUUAUUGGGCGUAAAGGGCUCGUAGGUGGUUGAUCGCGUCGGAAGUGUAAUCUUGGGGCUUAACCCUGAGCGUGCUUUCGAUACGGGUUGACUUGAGGAAGGUAGGGGAGAAUGGAAUUCCUGGUGGAGCGGUGGAAUGCGCAGAUAUCAGGAGGAAUACCAGUGGCGAAGGCGGUUCUCUGGGCCUUUCCUGACGCUGAGGAGCGAAAGCGUGGGGAGCGAACAGGCUUAGAUACCCUGGUAGUCCACGCUGUAAACGGUGGGUACUAGGUGUGGGGUCCAUUCCACGGGUUCCGUGCCGUAGCUAACGCUUUAAGUACCCCGCCUGGGGAGUACGGCCGCAAGGCUAAAACUCAAAGGAAUUGGCGGGGCCCCGCACAAGCGGCGGAGCAUGCGGAUUAAUUCGAUGCAACGCGUAGAACCUUACCUGGGUUUGACAUGGAUCGGGAGUGCUCAGAGAUGGGUGUGCCUCUUUUGGGGUCGGUUCACAGGUGGUGCAUGGCUGUCGUCAGCUCGUGUCGUGAGAUGUUGGGUUAAGUCCCGCAACGAGCGCAACCCUUGUUCACUGUUGCCAGCACGUUAUGGUGGGGACUCAGUGGAGACCGCCGGGGUCAACUCGGAGGAAGGUGGGGAUGACGUCAAGUCAUCAUGCCCCUUAUGUCCAGGGCUUCACGCAUGCUACAAUGGCUGGUACAGAGAGUGGCGAGCCUGUGAGGGUGAGCGAAUCUCGGAAAGCCGGUCUCAGUUCGGAUUGGGGUCUGCAACUCGACCUCAUGAAGUCGGAGUCGCUAGUAAUCGCAGAUCAGCAACGCUGCGGUGAAUACGUUCCCGGG